AGCGGGAUUGUGGCAGCAAUGUCACAUGAGAGCGGCGCACGGGUGAGUAACGCGUACACGACCUACCUUUGACUGGGGGAUAGCCCCGGGAAACUGGGAUUAAUACCGCAUAUAAUUCUCGAUAAUAAAGGUUGGGAAUGAAAGUUCAGGCGGUCAGAGAUGGGUGUGCGUCUGAUUAGCUAGUUGGUAAGGUAACGGCUUACCAAGGCGAUGAUCAGUAGGGGGCGUGAGAGCGUGAUCCCCCACACGGGUGCUGAGACACGGACCCGACUCCUACGGGAGGCAGCAGUAAGGAAUAUUGGACAAUGGCCGCAAGGCUGAUCCAGCCAUCCAGCGUGCAGGAAGAAGGCCCUAUGGGUUGUAAACUGCUUUUAUCAGGGAAUAAACCUCUUUAUUUAUAGAGAGCUGAAGGUACCUGAAGGAUAAGCACCGGCUAACUCCGUGCCAGCAGCCGCGGUAAUACGGAGGGUGCGAGCGUUAUCCGGAAUUACUGGGUUUAAAGGGUGCGUAGGCGGCCCUGUAAGUCAGGAGUGAAAGUUUGCGGCUCAACCGUAAAA
This 557-nucleotide ribosomal RNA is filed under the name uncultured bacterium. RNAcentral describes it as "bacterial SSU rRNA". It matches the Rfam family "Bacterial small subunit ribosomal RNA", at positions 65 to 620 of the family's 1533-position model. The record is from RNAcentral.